Long non-coding RNA from Ostrea edulis (European flat oyster), 381 nucleotides. RefSeq lists it as uncharacterized. NCBI's taxonomy places the organism in Eukaryota, Metazoa, Mollusca, Bivalvia, Ostreida, Ostreidae. The transcript has 2 exons. The record is from RefSeq and is a predicted model, not a curated record.
ACAACUGACAUUCAAAUUUUUGCUGACCAUUAGAAAUACCUAAGUUAGGCAUUCUAAACAUUAAAAAUGAAAAACUAAAAUUCGAAUUUUUUAAAGCUCAAAUUCUGUCCGUGCCCUUUUAACAAAGGACAGAUACCAACCUAUUGGGCAGUAUUCUGUCCAGAAUGUCAGAGAAUGGAUACAAAGAACAAUGGUGUGACGUCACAACAAUGAUUUAAAAAUAUGCCCAUGGUGGCUGGUUACUGUCUACACAGAUACUCGUCAAAUAGACAAGCCACUCAUCAGGUUGUAGAAGAAGUCCCGAAGAUUUUCCGUAGAGAACACAUUUCCCGUUUUUGUGUUCGCUUUGUUAAUAAUUAAAAUAAAGUUUUAAUGUAUUUU